CUCCAGACUCCUACGGGAGGCAGCAGUGGGGAAUAUUGCACAAUGGGGGAAACCCUGAUGCAGCGACGCCGCGUGAGUGAAGAAGUAUUUCGGUAUGUAAAGCUCUAUCAGCAGGGAAGAAAAUGACGGUACCUGAUUAAGAAGCCCCGGCUAACUACGUGCCAGCAGCCGCGGUAAUACGUAGGGGGCAAGCGUUAUCCGGAUUUACUGGGUGUAAAGGGAGCGUAGACGGCAGCGCAAGUCCGAAGUGAAAGCCCGGGGCCCAACCCCGGGACUGCUUUGGAAACUGUGAAGCUGGAGUGCGGGAGGGGCAGGCGGAAUUCCUGGUGUAGCGGUGAAAUGCGUAGAUAUCAGGAGGAACACCGGCGGCGAAGGCGGCCUGCUGGACCGUAACUGACGUUGAGGCUCGAAAGCGUGGGGAGCAAACAGGAUUAGAUACCCGAGUA
Molecule: ribosomal RNA, 446 nt
Filed under: uncultured bacterium
Lineage: Bacteria
Description: bacterial SSU rRNA
Rfam family: Bacterial small subunit ribosomal RNA
Source: RNAcentral